GACGUAGGGGGCGAGCGUUGUCCGGAUUUACUGGGCGUAAAGAGCGCGUAGGCGGUCUGUUAAGUCAGAAGUGAAAUCUCCAGGGCUCAACCCGGAAACUGCUUUUGAUACUGACAGACUUGAGUGUCGGAGAGGUAACUGGAAUUCCUGGUGUAGCGGUGACAUGCAUUGAUAUCAGGAGGAACACCCAUGGCGAAGGCAGGUUACUGGCUGACAACUGACGCUGAGGCGCGAAAGCGUGGGUAGCAAACAGA
This 254-nucleotide ribosomal RNA is filed under the name uncultured bacterium. RNAcentral describes it as "partial 16S ribosomal RNA". It matches the Rfam family "Bacterial small subunit ribosomal RNA", at positions 524 to 776 of the family's 1533-position model. The record is from RNAcentral.